AUCGCUUCUCGGCACCGAAGUGCUGAGAUCAAAAAGUAGUGUCAAAUCUUAUCAUCUUAAUACCUGGUACAUCUCGCAUAGCGAGAUCCGAUUAUUAAACUGUUUGUUGGAACAUGGUGGAAUGUUCGGAGCUUGUUUCUCUUCUGCCACGAGUCGCCUCAAUAUUGCAGUAUUUAGUGGGAGCGGCUCUUUUAAA
This is a small nuclear RNA of Chrysoperla carnea, 196 nucleotides long. RefSeq annotates it as U2 spliceosomal RNA. The record is from RefSeq and is a predicted model, not a curated record. NCBI's taxonomy places the organism in Eukaryota, Metazoa, Arthropoda, Insecta, Neuroptera, Chrysopidae. The transcript has a single exon.